CUACCUGCACUGUGGGAAUGCCCGGUUGUGCACCCCCCUAUGGGACAAAGCCUUACAGUGCAUGGGAGAUGGCCUUGGAUCCCAGGUACCUACAGUAGGUCACCAAAACUGUGUCUGCUGAGUGACAAGGCUGAAAUAAGAGGGAUUAAACGAACAAAAGGUCAAAUACAAUGUUUAGGUAUUGUGUCUGUGUUAAGGCUUGUCCUGAAACAUUGGAAGAGCUCCAGUGUUCACACAGUGGAUGAAUCUGUUGAUACAAAACAACAGCGUAUGAAAUCGUGUUUGCGAAGAGGCUGGAGGAAAAUAAUACAGACUGUGUUUCCUUAAGGGUACAUAGAGGCGUGUAGAGGCGACAGGUAGCCUAGUGGUUAGAGUGUAGAGGCGGCAGGGUAGCCUAGUGGUUAGAGUGUAGAGGCGGCAGGUAGCCUAGUGGUUAGAGUGUAGAGGAGGCAGGGUAGCCUAGUGGUUAGAGUGUAGAGGUGGCAGGUAGUCUAGUGGUUAGAGUGUAGAGGUGGCAAGGUAGCCUAGUGGUUAGAGUGUAGAGGCGGCAGGUAGCCUAGUGGUUAGAGUGUAGAGGCGGCAGGUAGCCUAGUGGUUAGAGUGUAGAGGCGGCAGGGUAGCCUAGUGGUUAGAGUGUAGAGGCGGCAGGUAGCCUAGUGGUUAGAGUGUAGAGGUGGCAGGUAGCCUAGUGGUUAGAGUGUAGAGGUGGCAGGGUAGCCUAGUGGUUAGAGUGUAGAGGCGGCAGGUAGCCUAGUGGUUAGAGUGUAGAGGCGGCAGGUAGCCUAGUGGUUAGAGUG
Long non-coding RNA from Oncorhynchus tshawytscha (Chinook salmon), 797 nucleotides. The record is from Ensembl. NCBI's taxonomy places the organism in Eukaryota, Metazoa, Chordata, Actinopteri, Salmoniformes, Salmonidae.